GAAUUCGAUUCAGGCCUAACACAUGCAAGUCGAGCGAUGAAGCACCUUCGGGUGUGAAUUAGCGGCGAACGGGUGAGGAACACGUGAGAAAUCUGCCUUCAACUCUGGGAUAACUCCGGGAAACCGGGGCUAAUACCGGAUAUGAGCCUCUUUCGCAUGAAGGGGGCUGGAAAGUUUUUCGGUUGAAGAUGAUCUCGCGGCCUAUCAGCUUGUUGGUGAGGUAACGGCUCACCAAGGCUACGACGGGUAUCCGGCCUGAGAGGGCGACCGGACACACUGGGACUGAGACACGGCCCAGACUCCUACGGGAGGCAGCAGUGGGGAAUAUUGGGCA
RNAcentral lists this ribosomal RNA (334 nucleotides) under uncultured bacterium. RNAcentral describes it as "bacterial SSU rRNA". It matches the Rfam family "Bacterial small subunit ribosomal RNA", at positions 43 to 370 of the family's 1533-position model. The record is from RNAcentral.